Molecule: ribosomal RNA, 253 nt
Filed under: uncultured bacterium
Lineage: Bacteria
Description: partial 16S ribosomal RNA
Rfam family: Bacterial small subunit ribosomal RNA
Source: RNAcentral
CACGUAGGGGGCGAGCGUUGUCCGGAUUUAUUGGGCGUAAAGAGCUCGUAGGCGGUUUGUCGCGUCUGCUGUGAAAACUGGAGGCUCAACCUCCAGCCUGCAGUGGGUACGGGCAAACUAGAGUGCGGUAGGGGAGAUUGGAAUUCCUGGUGUAGCGGUGGAAUGCGUAGAGAUCCGGAAGAACACCGGUGGCGAAGGCGGCAUCCUGGACCGAGAUCGACGCUGAGGCGCGAAAGCUAGGGGAGCAAACGGG